UACGGAGGGUGCAAGCGUUAUCCGGAAUUAUUGGGCGUAAAGGGUCCGUAGGUGGUUGAGUAAGUCUGCUGUUAAAGCGUGGAGCUUAACUCCAUAUCGGCAGUGGAUACUACUUGACUUGAGUGCGGUAGGGGAAAGGAGAAUUCCCAGUGUAGCGGUGAAAUGCGUAGAUAUUGGGAAGAACACCGGUGGCGAAAGCGCCUGACUGGGCCUGUACUGACACUGAGGGUCGAAAGCUAGGGGAGCAAACGGG
Molecule: ribosomal RNA, 253 nt
Filed under: uncultured bacterium
Lineage: Bacteria
Description: partial 16S ribosomal RNA
Rfam family: Bacterial small subunit ribosomal RNA
Source: RNAcentral